RNAcentral lists this ribosomal RNA (484 nucleotides) under uncultured bacterium. Its description in RNAcentral is "partial 16S ribosomal RNA". It matches the Rfam family "Bacterial small subunit ribosomal RNA", at positions 28 to 523 of the family's 1533-position model. The record is from RNAcentral.
GAUGAACGCCGGCGGCGUGCUUAACACAUGCAAGUCGAACGGUGAAGCAGGAGCUUGCUCUUGUGGAUCAGUGGCGAACGGGUGAGUAACACGUGAGCAACCUGCCCCUGACUCUGGGAUAAGCGCUGGAAACGGCGUCUAAUACUGGAUAUGUGAUGUGACCGCAUGGUCUGCAUCUGGAAAGAAUUUCGGUUGGAGAUGGGCUCGCGGCCUAUCAGCUUGUUGGUGAGGUAAUGGCUCACCAAGGCGUCGACGGGUAGCCGGCCUGAGAGGGUGACCGGCCACACUGGGACUGAGACACGGCCCAGACUCCUACGGGAGGCAGCAGUGGGGAAUAUUGCACAAUGGGCGGAAGCCUGAUGCAGCAACGCCGCGUGAGGGAUGACGGCCUUCGGGUUGUAAACCUCUUUUAGCAGGGAAGAAGCGAAAGUGACGGUACCUGCAGAAAAAGCACCGGCUAACUACGUGCCAGCAGCCGCUGUAA